UGUUUUCGUGCCCGCCGACCGCCAGGAGGAAUCGGACCCGCUCGACAGCGCCGGCGCGCUGCUCGCCACCCUCGGGCUCGGACUCACCACCUGGGGGCUGACCGAAGGCUCGGCGCAUGGCUGGUCGCUAUUCGCCGUGGCGGGCUGCGUAUUCCUGAUCGCGUUCGUGUGGGCGGAGCAUCGCCGCGGCGACAGGGCGA
This 200-nucleotide unclassified non-coding RNA is filed under the name Hevea brasiliensis (rubber tree). Lineage: Eukaryota; Viridiplantae; Streptophyta; Magnoliopsida; Malpighiales; Euphorbiaceae. The record is from RNAcentral.